Bos mutus (wild yak) is the source of this 272-nucleotide non-coding RNA. The record is from Ensembl. Lineage: Eukaryota; Metazoa; Chordata; Mammalia; Artiodactyla; Bovidae.
GGCCAUUGAGCAACAAAAACUUUGAAUUGAGGCAUUACAGGUUACUAUUAAAACACAAAAACAAACACAAACAUUAUAUGGUAAGAAUAAUGCAUUGAAGUCAUGUGUAUGGGGUAAUGGAGCAGCUGACAACAUGGGAUUCUGUCAGUGUGUUUCUGAAGAGUCGGCAGUGCACAGCAGACCAGUAUCCAACAAAACCAGCUACACAAGGGCUUGACGAGCGGCAGCCUCGGGGGUGAUGGGGCAUGAUCUCAAGUUUUCAAUCUGAGACC